RNAcentral lists this transfer RNA (83 nucleotides) under Nephila pilipes (giant wood spider). Its description in RNAcentral is "tRNA-Asn". It matches the Rfam family "tRNA". Rfam says of the family: Transfer RNA (tRNA) molecules are approximately 80 nucleotides in length. Their secondary structure includes four short double-helical elements and three loops (D, anti-codon, and T loops). Further hydrogen bonds mediate the characteristic L-shaped molecular structure. tRNAs have two regions of fundamental functional importance: the anti-codon, which is responsible for specific mRNA codon recognition, and the 3' end, to which the tRNAs corresponding amino acid is attached (by aminoacyl-tRNA synthetases). tRNAs cope with the degeneracy of the genetic code in two manners: having more than one tRNA (with a specific anti-codon) for a particular amino acid; and 'wobble' base-pairing, i.e. permitting non-standard base-pairing at the 3rd anti-codon position. The record is from RNAcentral. Lineage: Eukaryota; Metazoa; Arthropoda; Arachnida; Araneae; Nephilidae.
CCCAGGAUGGCCGAGUGGUUAUGGCACCAGACUGUUGAUCUAGAAGUGUUUCGAAAUCGCAGGUUCGAUUUCUGCUCCUGGGA